GACUCCCGACUGGCUGCUGGUUGAGCGACGGGUAUGGAGGUCUAGCCUGCUCUGGCAUGUUCUGGGUGGGGGGGUGUUGGCUCGCAGCAAUUGUAAUCGGUUUCAGUUCAUUUUCAUUUAAAUAGAAUUAAAUAUGGUAAAUAAUGAAAUCUAGCGGCGGGCAACAUACAUACAUACAUAUGUUGCUAUACAUAUGUAUAUUGGUACGUACAUACACAUGUAUGUAUGUGUGGUGAAUUGUUGUGGUGAAGGUGAGCGAGUGAGUAAGUUAGUGAGCUGCGCGUGCAACGACCGACAUUUUUUUUCUUUCUUGUGUAUAUAGUCAGGCGAGUCGAGAGUUGUCAGGUCGGCAGAUAUAGCGAGACCCGAGACCAGACGACGAGACGAGACGACAUUUAAACUACUACUUAGCGACUGCCACCAGCCGACAACAAUGGCAGCGAAUCGUUGUUGUCGUCGGCGUCCAGUCAGCAUUUUUAUUAUUUAAGCCGUGCGCGUAAAGAAAGCAAAAAUCGUAAUCUUUAUAAUAAAUAAAUAAUUUGAAAUACA
This is a long non-coding RNA of Scaptodrosophila lebanonensis, 549 nucleotides long. RefSeq lists it as uncharacterized. The record is from RefSeq and is a predicted model, not a curated record. The transcript has 2 exons. NCBI's taxonomy places the organism in Eukaryota, Metazoa, Arthropoda, Insecta, Diptera, Drosophilidae.